AUGCGGUUUAAAUCAAGAUCCACUUGCACGUUCACUCACACAUGCUACUUCUACUCCGGAAGUACGCAUCCACAUUCAUCCACCCACUUCCAUCUCCAAAUUCACCUAAAAUUAUUCUACUCCUAUCCAGAAGAGAAUAGCCAAAAUAUUUUCCUAUCCCUGUUAUUCCCUGUGAAAUCAAUGCUCCAGUUAUUUUGGUUACUACCACUUGCUACAUUAUUCCAGGAGGGUGAGUGCUCUAAAAAAAUGAUGAAUACGAUACGAGGAAAUAAAAAGGGGCAAGUUCCCGGAACCUCAAAAAGAGAAAAAGAUACGAGGAAAUAAAAAGGGGCAAGUGCCCGGAACCUCAAAGAAAAGAAAAAGUGAGACGAGAGGUAAAAAUGGACAAGUGUCGGACAGUAGAAUUAGGGGUACAAGAUACCCACCUGAGAGAAAAGAAAAAGAAAAUAUAGAGCAUCUCAUUCUCCUCAAAAAGCUUCAAAGUGCAAGAAAGGUAUGUAUCCCCUUAAAAGAGCAAAAGUAGAAUUAGACUUUCACCAUUGUUAUCACCAUACACCAUUCAUUCGCUACACAUGCACAUCUUGAUUUGACUUAUUGACUUGUUUCUCUGGAUCCAUGGUUUGACUAUGCAAUAAAUGUCUUGUAAGUAUGAAUGCUUUAUCUCCCACCAAUGAGCUCCAGAUAUCAAAACCUUAUUAGAGU
RNAcentral lists this long non-coding RNA (702 nucleotides) under Sorghum bicolor (sorghum). RNAcentral describes it as "long non-coding RNA (SBIC_LNC001079)". The record is from RNAcentral. Lineage: Eukaryota; Viridiplantae; Streptophyta; Magnoliopsida; Poales; Poaceae.